UACGAAGGUCCCAAGCGUUAUCCGGAUUUAUUGGGUUUAAAGGGCGCGUAGGCGGGCUAUUAAGUCAGUGGUGAAAGCCCCAAGCUUAACUUGGGAACUGCCAUUGAUACUGAUGGUCUUGAGUACAUUUGAGGUGGGCGGAAUGUGUCAUGUAGCGGUGAAAUGCUUAGAUAUGACACAGAACACCGAUUGCGAAGGCAGCUCACUAAACUGUAACUGACGCUGAGGCACGAAAGCGUGGGGAGCAAACAGG
RNAcentral lists this ribosomal RNA (253 nucleotides) under uncultured bacterium. RNAcentral's name for it is "partial 16S ribosomal RNA". It matches the Rfam family "Bacterial small subunit ribosomal RNA", at positions 524 to 776 of the family's 1533-position model. The record is from RNAcentral.